Molecule: ribosomal RNA, 292 nt
Filed under: Aegla leptodactyla
Lineage: Eukaryota; Metazoa; Arthropoda; Malacostraca; Decapoda; Aeglidae
Description: partial 12S small subunit ribosomal RNA
Source: RNAcentral
UAUUUUAGUCUUGUUAGAGGAACCUGUUUUAUAAUCGAUAAACCACGUAUAUCUUACUUAUUUUAAAUAAUUUGUAUACCGUCAUUAUUAGAUAACUUUUAAAAAAUUAGUUAUUAAAAUUAAAAAAAAAAAUUAAAUAUAUUAGAUCAAGGUGCAGUUAAUAAAUAAGAAAAAAUGGGUUACAAUAAAAAUUUAUUUAAAACGAAUUAUAUAAAUGUAAAAAUAUAUGAAGGAGGAUUUAAUUGUAAUUUUUUUUUUAUAAAAUAAUAAUAUGAUAAUAGCUCUAAAAUAU